UACGUAGGGGGCUAGCGUUAUCCGGAAUUACUGGGCGUAAAGGGUGCGUAGGUGGUUUCUUAAGUCAGAGGUGAAAGGCUACGGCUCAACCGUAGUAAGCCUUUGAAACUGAGAAACUUGAGUGCAGGAGAGGAGAGUAGAAUUCCUAGUGUAGCGGUGAAAUGCGUAGAUAUUAGGAGGAACACCAGUUGCGAAGGCGGCUCUCUGGACUGUAACUGACACUGAGGCACGAAAGCGUGGGGAGCAAACAGGAUUAGAUACCCUGGUAGUCCCUGA
This 276-nucleotide ribosomal RNA is filed under the name uncultured prokaryote. Its description in RNAcentral is "partial 16S ribosomal RNA". It matches the Rfam family "Bacterial small subunit ribosomal RNA", at positions 524 to 800 of the family's 1533-position model. The record is from RNAcentral.